GAUGAACGCUAGCGGGAGGCCUAACACAUGCAAGCCGAGCGGUAGAGUUUCUUCGGAAACUUGAGAGCGGCGCACGGGUGCGUAACACGUGUGCAACCUACCUUUAUCUGGGGGAUAGCCUUUCGAAAGGAAGAUUAAUACCCCAUAAUAUAAUGAUUGGCAUCCAUUAUUAUUGAAAACUCCGGUGGAUAGAGAUGGGCACGCGCGAGAUUAGAUAGUUGGUGAGGUAACGGCUCACCAAGUCAAUGAUCUUUAGGGGUCCUGAGAGGGAGAUCCCCCAGACGGGUACUGGGACACGGACCAGACUCCUACGGGAGGCAGCAGUGAGGAAUAUUGGACAAUGGGUGAGAGCCUGAUCCAGCCAUCCCGCGUGAAGGAUGACGGUCCUAUGGAUGGUAAACUUCUUUUGUACAGGGAUAAACCUACCCUCGUGAGGGUAGCUGAAGGUACUGUACGAAUAAGCACCGGCUAACUCCGUG
This 479-nucleotide ribosomal RNA is filed under the name uncultured bacterium. RNAcentral describes it as "partial 16S ribosomal RNA". It matches the Rfam family "Bacterial small subunit ribosomal RNA", at positions 28 to 507 of the family's 1533-position model. The record is from RNAcentral.